CCCUAUGGGGUGCAGCAGGCACUUCGGGCCAGCGAAAAACGCUGGCAAUUCGCCCUAGACGGGGCAGGCGACGGUGUCUGGGACUGGGACGCCCCGACCAACCGCGUCCACUAUUCCAGGCAGUGGAAAACGAUGUUGGGAUACUCCGAGCAGGAGAUCGGAGACAACCUGGACGAGUGGGAGCGCCGCGUUCACCCCGACGACAAGGAUGGGGUGUAUAUCGAGAUCGGGCGUCAUUUCAGGGGCGAAACCGACAUCUACCAGAGUGAGCACCGCGUCCUCUGCAAGGACGGUUCAUACAAGUGGAUUCUGGACCGCGGCAAAAUCAUCGAAUGGACGGGAGACGGAAUGCCGCGCCGCGUGAUCGGUACCCAUACGGACAUCUCCGAGCGUAAGAAGUCGGCGGGGGAGC
This 412-nucleotide ribosomal RNA is filed under the name uncultured prokaryote. RNAcentral describes it as "partial 16S ribosomal RNA". The record is from RNAcentral.